UACGUAGGGAGCGAGCGUUAUCCGGAAUUAUUGGGUGUAAAGGGUGCGUAGACGGGAGUCUAAGUUAGUUGUGAAAUCCCUCGGCUCAACUGAGGAACUGCAACUAAAACUGGACAUCUUGAGUGCAGGAGAGGAAAGUGGAAUUCCUAGUGUAGCGGUGAAAUGCGUAGAUAUUAGGAGGAACACCAGUGGCGAAGGCGACUUUCUGGACUGUAACUGACGUUGAGGCACGAAAGUGUGGGGAGCAAACAGG
This 253-nucleotide ribosomal RNA is filed under the name uncultured bacterium. RNAcentral's name for it is "partial 16S ribosomal RNA". It matches the Rfam family "Bacterial small subunit ribosomal RNA", at positions 524 to 776 of the family's 1533-position model. The record is from RNAcentral.